This 493-nucleotide ribosomal RNA is filed under the name uncultured bacterium. RNAcentral's name for it is "partial 16S ribosomal RNA". It matches the Rfam family "Bacterial small subunit ribosomal RNA", at positions 28 to 505 of the family's 1533-position model. The record is from RNAcentral.
GACGAACGCUGGCGGCGUGCCUAAUACAUGCAAGUAGAACGCUGAAGGAGGAGCUUGCUUCUCUGGAUGAGUUGCGAACGGGUGAGUAACGCGUAGGUAACCUGCCUGGUAGCGGGGGAUAACUAUUGGAAACGAUAGCUAAUACCGCAUAACAGUAGAUAUCGCAUGAUAUCUACUUGAAAGGUGCAAUUGCAUCACUACCAGAUGGACCUGCGUUGUAUUAGCUAGUUGGUGAGGUAACGGCUCACCAAGGCGACGAUACAUAGCCGACCUGAGAGGGUGAUCGGCCACACUGGGACUGAGACACGGCCCAGACUCCUACGGGAGGCAGCAGUAGGGAAUCUUCGGCAGUGGACGGAAGUCUGACCGAGCAACGCCGCGUGAGUGAAGAAGGUUUUCGGAUCGUAAAGCUCUGUUGUAAGAGAAGAACGAGUGUGAGAGUGGAAAGUUCACACUGUGACGGUAUCUUACCAGAAAGGGACGGCUAACUACG